Long non-coding RNA from Coregonus clupeaformis (lake whitefish), 637 nucleotides. RefSeq lists it as uncharacterized. The transcript is spliced from 4 exons. The record is from RefSeq and is a predicted model, not a curated record. Lineage: Eukaryota; Metazoa; Chordata; Actinopteri; Salmoniformes; Salmonidae.
GCCGCCUUCGGCUGGCCUUCUGGGCCAGGUGUGUCUUUGCAAUAAUCCCGCCUACUCGAAUGACCCUGCUGCCCCGGAGCUGGCAAGGAUGUGAAAGUCACUUGCAACCUUACGUUACAGCCACCAGAAACAAACAGGGCAGACGAAGCAAACAAGCGUUACUCUCGGUUAUUGGAUCUGAGUCAAUUCGACCCCAAAGGAGAAAAAGAAGCGACAAAAAGACUGCUCAUAACCAAUCCAGAAACCGGAUAAAAAUCUGAAUUAAUUUUGAAAGGUGGAAGAGUGAAGACGAAAUUACCACUUUUCUCAUGGACUGGUAACAUUAGGGAGAUACUGGUGGAGACUGAUUUUGAGGGAACCUGAGGCUGUACAAGUUGUGGUUGUGCAAACCCCAACACUGAAAGAGAGUGCCAACAACCCCCAAAGACUCAGACUCUCAGACUCUCCUGUCCCAAUACCAACCAAGCAAGAGUAUCUCCAGGAACAUCAGUGCAAAGGGCUUGGUGAGACCAUGGCCAGUAUAUUACCUACCUUCUCUCUCUGAUGAGACCAUGGCAGGUAUAUUACCUACCACAAGGGAGGCUGCUGAGGGAGGACGGCUCAUAAUAAUGGCCGGAACGGAGCAAAUGGAAUGGCA